AACUUUUGGCAAUGGAUCACUUGGUUCUGGCAUCGAUGAAGAACGCAGCGAAAUGCGAUAAGUAAUGCGAAUUGCAGAAUUCCGUGAAUCAUCGUAUCUUUGAACGCAUAUUGCGCCUUCUGGUAUUCCGGUAGGCAUGUCUGUUUGAGCGUCAGCAAAAUCCCCUCUUCGGGUGGGGUAUCCGUAUUAAAUAACUCCUGCCGGUGUUGGGUCAAGAAGGCUGAUAGGUGACAGUUAUGUCCUUACCCGCCCCUGCCCUAAACUUGCUGUAUGACUGCGAGCCCGUCCAGGCCUGAUUCAAUGGAGUGGUAUUAACGGUCUUCCGAUGAAUCUGCUGGAGGCCCUAGCGGCACUAAAACCUUAGAUUUUCCCCUUUACGGUGAAGGUCCUUGAAGUUUUGACCUCAAAUCAGACAAGGAUACCCGCUGAACUUAAGCAUAUCAAUAAGCGGAGGCU
This 456-nucleotide unclassified non-coding RNA is filed under the name uncultured Ascomycota. RNAcentral's name for it is "sequence contains ITS2". The stretch from base 1 to 154 matches the Rfam family "5.8S ribosomal RNA". The record is from RNAcentral. Lineage: Eukaryota; Fungi; Ascomycota.